CUCUGCCAAGAGUAUGAAUGUCCCUGGACCUCCUGAGCUGGCAGAGCUUGUAGCCGUGAGAGCCCCUGCCAUUGUUCUACGUGGAGUACUCGAUGGCCAACACUGCAGUUCUCCUGCAAGCCUUAAUCAAAAGGGCCAUGAGUUCUUCAGAAUAGAGUUGUCUUUUAGUCCCUGCCUCCAAAUGUAAGACACAAAGUAAAUAACUAAUACAUAGUUAGAGAAGGCAUUAGAAUGUGUUCAGAUGAUUAUUUAUUGAAUAUUUUAUUUAUUUAUAUUUCAAAUGUUAUUCCCUUUCUUGGUUUUCCCUCUGUAACCUCCCUAUCCCAUCCUCCCUCCUCCAUGCUUCAAUGAGGGUGUUCCCCCACCCACCC
This 371-nucleotide long non-coding RNA is filed under the name Rattus norvegicus (Norway rat). RNAcentral's name for it is "long non-coding RNA NONRATT033378". Lineage: Eukaryota; Metazoa; Chordata; Mammalia; Rodentia; Muridae. The record is from RNAcentral.